RNAcentral lists this ribosomal RNA (500 nucleotides) under uncultured bacterium. RNAcentral's name for it is "partial 16S ribosomal RNA". It matches the Rfam family "Bacterial small subunit ribosomal RNA", at positions 29 to 523 of the family's 1533-position model. The record is from RNAcentral.
AUUGAACGCUGGCGGCGUGCUUAACACAUGCAAGUCGAUCGGUAACGCGGGGGCAACCCUGGCGACGAGAGGCGGACGGGUGAGGAACGCUUGGGAAUCUGCCUAUCAGCGGGGGACAACACGGGGAAACUCGUGCUAAUACCGCAUACGCUCUACGGAGGAAAGCCGGGGACCGCAAGGCCUGGCACUGAUAGAUGAGCCCAAGUCGGAUUAGCUAGUUGGCGGGGUAACGGCCCACCAAGGCGACGAUCCGUAGCUGGUCUGAGAGGACGAUCAGCCACACUGGAACGGAGACACGGUCCAGACUCCUACGGGAGGCAGCAGUGGGGAAUAUUGGACAAUGGGGGAAACCCUGAUCCAGCGACGCCGCGUGGGUGAAGAAGGCCUGCGGGUUGUAAAGCCCUUUCGGUAGGGACGAAAGCUCUCGACCUAACACGUCGGGAGGUUGACUUAACCUACAAAAGAAGCACCGGCUAACUCUGUGCCAGCCGCCGCGGUAA